UACGUAGGGUGCAAGCGUUGUCCGGAAUUAUUGGGCGUAAAGAGCGUGUAGGCGGCCAGGUAGGUCGGUUGUGAAAACUGGAGGCUCAACCUUCAGAGGUCGACCGAAACCAUCUGGCUAGAGUCCGGGAGAGGAGAGUGGAAUUCCUGGUGUAGCGGUGAAAUGCGCAGAUAUCAGGAAGAACACCCGUGGCGAAAGCGGCUUUCUGGAACGGUACUGACGCUGAGACGCGAAAGCGUGGGGAGCGAACAGG
Molecule: ribosomal RNA, 253 nt
Filed under: uncultured bacterium
Lineage: Bacteria
Description: partial 16S ribosomal RNA
Rfam family: Bacterial small subunit ribosomal RNA
Source: RNAcentral